UCCGUCACAAACUCACAUUAAAAUAAAGCACUUCGUUUUGACGUUCGGCAUAUUUCGAAGCAAAAACCGUUGGAAAACGGCUUAUGAAGACUGAGGAUAGGAAUCAUAAACCACUUAAAGGAACAUUUCUAGUUGUGCUUCAUCCUAGAGCACACAAGGCGCAGUAAUGUGAGUCAGUGUUGCGGCUACUAGUACAGCAAUCACAAAAAUAACUUGACUUAGUCAAGUUUUUAUUUAGCUGAUUCUACUUCAUUACGCCUGGAAAAUAAAGAUAACCAUUUUAACAAGAUAGAAGUAAUGGGCAGGAAAGAACAACAAUACAAGGUGAUGAAAUAAAUAUUGCUAAUUUGGAUCAAUCUGUUGAGACUUCAUUUCUCAGGCAGGAUUCGGCUGCUGGAAUGGACAUUAAUGAUUUGGAAGAAUAAAAAAUUGAAACAGUGAUGCCUAGUACUAGUAGUGUUGCAUCAACAAGCA
Long non-coding RNA from Physella acuta, 474 nucleotides. RefSeq lists it as uncharacterized. Lineage: Eukaryota; Metazoa; Mollusca; Gastropoda; Physidae. The record is from RefSeq and is a predicted model, not a curated record.